CGCGCGGAGAGCUGAUUGUCGCGACCGUUGCCGUGCGGUCCUUGCGGACCCGCGUCCCUCUGCUCCACGGGCGAUGGAUGUGUCGAGGGGCUUCUUCGGCAAACUGCGCUCCCUGGCCCUCACGCUAGAGAGGGAGGCGAAGCAGCUGGAGCGGGCGCUGCGCGGGGAGGACGCGGACUAUGAAGAGGAAUCUCCGAUGAGGGUUUUGCACGACCUACACUGCGAAAUCAGGGCUCUGAAGGAAGAUGCUAAUGCUGCUCUUGGCAAGAGUUCCUCUGAAAGGCAAGAAAUUAAUGACUUUAUGAAGGCAAGUGAGAUACUGAUGCAAAGAAAUGCAGCGGAUCUUGCAAAAAUAAGAGAGCUAUUCCAGAAAUAUGGCUACAAACCACCCGUCGAAGUCCCUACAGAGGAGCAAGAAGAGGAGGCGAAUGGUGAUUUGAAGGCAUCUGACCAGAAUAAAUCUGAUCAGGGAGAAGCAGAUGCAGCACCUCCUCUUCCUGCCUGUGCUGAGAACCCUCCUGUGCCCGGAGACCCGCUGCGGAGCCCCCAGCUUUCUGAUUUCGGCCUAUCACAGUAUGCUUUCUCCAGGCCCUGGAGUGCAUUACAUGGACAACAACGUGCAGCAAAUGCCAGUCAAGAAAAUGCAAAGCACACAACUCCUCAGAAAACGCAGGCCGCCUGUGUUCUGCCCAAAACACCCAAAUGCAUGCUAAAGAUGGACGACUUUGAGUGCGUUACACCAAAACUGGAACACUUUGGCAUUAGUGAACACACCGUGUGCAUGAAUGAAGAUUACACCAUGGCACUUAUUCAUAAAACUGCCCAGUCAAACAACUUAGUUAAAAAAGGCGACGAUGAAGUGAAUGUAGCAAAAAAGCCACCCAGGGAAAUGGCAGUUACUCCUGAGCCAAAAACAAAAGCAGCAGAUGAGAGCGCAGCAGACUGUAUGGCUUCUCCUAUGAUACCCGUGUUCUGCACACCUGGUGUGAAAAUCCCUCCCCGAGCAGACAGUGCAGCGUUAGCCAAGUCACCAGAAAGAGACAAAGUGCCUCUUCCCAGCCAUGCAGCAACGCCACCACCUCCGGAUUUUGAAGCCAGGUGGAUGACAAGAGAACUCAUGGAAAUGCAAGAGGAGAAGAUCAUGUUGGUGACCAAAAACAAUGCAACAGAGAAACAAAACAUAGAAGACGGCAUUCCUUCUGCUGUGAGCUCUGAGGAGUACCUCAAACAUUUGGGGAACCCAUCUCCUCCCAAAAUAAAACAGUACGACCAUUUACUCAGCACUCCUCCACCUCCAGAAAUAACAAGGAUACCAGAUGAUGUACUACAGAUUCUGUCAAAGUAUAACCAUAAAGUGGACUCUUCUAUAUCUAAGAAAAUGGAGACUAAGGCAGGAGAUGCUGCAGGAUUUGGAAGUGAUUUCAGUUACUGCAACAAAGAGAACAGAUGCAGUGGUCUGUAGAGAAGUGCAAUUAAACUGUAACAGAAGGAAAGUCCAUUAUGCUGCCCAGGAAGCAGACAUCUGUAGGCAGUCUGCUAACUCUGCUUGCUUCAGGGCGGAGUUUGCAGUGCAGUGCUUGGACAUAUCUUCAACAGAACUCCUUUCUGUGUGACGACUAACUCCCGCCUUACUGCCUUAAAGUACCUCCAGGACAUCUGUCCCUUCUGCAGCACUGAGGCAUAUCAAACAGUUUCCCUCCCAGUGGAAAUCAGUAAUCUCAAAUUCAACUCUUGGCUGCGUGACUGCUACAUCAGAUGCACUGGAAGGAAAGUGGAGGAACGCGGCAACAACCCAGUGGCCUUACGUGUCAGCACAGGAAGGAAAACCGCUACAGCAUGGAUAUGUGGAGCUGCCUUUGCUGGGAACCCUGCGCCUGCAACGCUGAAGCACGGAGUUCACCGUCACAUGAUUUCCACGCGAACGAAAACUUCAGCUGAGCUCCUUGCCGCUGCCUCCGGCCAAACGACGAGAGAUUCGCCCUCCGACGCUCCGCCGCUUCG
Centrocercus urophasianus (Greater sage-grouse) is the source of this 2001-nucleotide RNA transcript. It is a transcript of the gene named spindle and kinetochore associated complex subunit 3, with no coding region annotated. NCBI's taxonomy places the organism in Eukaryota, Metazoa, Chordata, Aves, Galliformes, Phasianidae. The transcript is spliced from 11 exons. The record is from RefSeq and is a predicted model, not a curated record.